UGAGAUUAUGACAUUAUUGUGAAUAGUGACCGUUUUUCUCUAGCCAAAUGAAGAAGGCUUCCAAAACUCCAAGGUCGGUCCGACUUGUGAAUUCUCCUCCGUUGUGUCUAGUUAUUGAGCUUCGUAGAUAUAUUUUCGGGUUUAGUUAUACUCUUAAAUCUAGAUUUUUAAGAUUUAUCUCUGUGGUUUUAGGUCAGGAUCAGAUUUAGCAAUAGCAUAGAUUGGCUAGGAUUUUGGUGCUUUGUGUCUUAGCUAGCAGGUUUUCUCCUUUUAUUGGCAGAGUUUACUUUAGAUUCUCACUGCCUCGAACUUUUGCCUUUCUCUGUCAAAUGAGAAUGACUCUAGUUGAUUUGAAUCAAAUUCGUUGAUCAAGAUCUGAUAUGUUCUGAAAACUUCUUUCACCGCAUCUGCAAGAUAGUGAAGAACUUUUCGAAGUUAUGCCUUGCUGGAUUAUGAAGCUAGGGAACCCACGAUGCAAGGAGGAUCUGCUAUUAAUAGUUUGGCCAGUUCAUGGCAUCUUCGACCAAUGUUCUCCAGAGGUAGGUAUGAUGUGAAUCAUUAGUUGCCGGCAAAAGCUAUCCUUGUGGACUCUGUCACAAAUGUUCUAUUGCUUUCUAUUUAUGUUGAUUUAUGCUAUGUUUGCCUUAAAUGUUUUGACUGUAGUCAGUGGCGGAUCUAGAACAUUUUUUGUUAAGAACAUUUUCAAUAAAAUACAUAUUUUUUUAAAUAAAAAGGGAUACUUUUUUAUAAACUUAUUUAAAUAUCAUACUAAAUCAGUUUUCUUAAGGUUUGUUUAUUAAAAAAAACAAAAAAAAAAAAGAUUAGGGGACAUAUGAUCCCGUACCGUCCUCUCUGCGUCCGCCCCUGAAUGUAGUGUUUUUUAGGUUUUUUCAGUUUUGUAUGUCUUCUUUUCAUAAGGUUUUGUGUCUAAAAAAAUUCUUGUUUUUUUAUUGACUUUGUUUCCGAGGAUAUUAGCUUAUUUUGUUAGCUUUGUAUCUUUUAGUCUAACAUUCAACAUUUCAAUAAUUAAUAAGAAAUUAAACAAUACUUUCUUUAAAAAUCUAUUAUAUAAAAGUUAUUCAAGUGUCUUCAGCUGCUUGUCACAUCAGUACUGGAUCAGUACUGGAGAGAUUGACACAUGGCAUAUCAAAUUUUGGGGGAAAAAUGGAACUUUCACCAUACGUUUUUCAUUUUGCAAUCAAAGAACUUCAAUCCUCAAAAAAAUUUAAUCUAUGGCCGAUGAGUAUUAUCUAUCAUCUUUGAGGAAAUCAGUUAUGAUAGAGAUUGUGGAAAUUAAUCCAAUUUCGAAAAACACUAUUUAUGUUCUUCCAUCUUGGUGUUUGUGCUGAAGAAAUCGACUUGCUGUGAGGAGCAAAAAGCAAAGAAGUUUGAAUCUCAGAUCUUUCCGCUUACUGACGUACUCAAUUAUUGAGGUAAUUGUUUACAUUUGUUUCUCGAUCUAUACUACUCUGUGAUAACUCAUCCCACUAUAUCUCGAUCUGAUUAAGGUAUAUGCUUUCCCUAAUUGAAUCUUCAUUCUUCAUUGGCUGAGUUUACUGCAAUUACAUGAUUUGUUUAUCCUUUACGUUUCACUGAGUCUUAAAUAGACCAAGACGGAAGCCUUGGUACUAUGGGAGGUGAAUCUAGAUAAUGGGUUCGUAGGCCUAUCCAUGUAAGGUUUUAGAUGGGAACAACAAGCUUCUUAAGGGCCAAUCAGACCUCUUCAAUAUGAACUUCAUGUGAAACCUCUAAGCUCCAUAAUGUGAAAUCAAUUCUGACAUAUAUUUCUUUUGUGCAUAUUAAAGAAAUGUGUUCUGCUUUAUGACUGUAAAUAAUCAAGGAUUUGAUUUGAGAUUGUAAAGGUAUACUUGCUAGGUUAAGAUAAUAUCAAAAAGAGUGUGUCCAUAGAGAAAUUGGUUUGGAUGUGAUGAGUGUUUAUAAUGGAAACGAAAAAACAUGUUUGUAG
This 1966-nucleotide long non-coding RNA is filed under the name Eutrema salsugineum. RNAcentral's name for it is "long non-coding RNA (ESAL_LNC001840)". The record is from RNAcentral. Lineage: Eukaryota; Viridiplantae; Streptophyta; Magnoliopsida; Brassicales; Brassicaceae.